GUAUUUGUUUUCUUACAGGAUUUAGGAUAAUAGUAUUGAGCAUAACCCUAUUUUCAUGUGGUCACAAAGCAAAUACCACAGCAUAAAAUUUCUUCUAAAAUAGGGAGCACAGUGCACUCAUUCCAUCUAUUAAAUUUCUAUAUUCUCUCGCAUGGUUUGAAGUUCCUUAAACAUGAUAUAGCUAUUCUGUAAGUUUCACGGAUUAAUAGCUUUCAUUUUGUUUUUGUAGGACAUCAUCGAGGCCAAAGAA
Molecule: unclassified non-coding RNA, 250 nt
Filed under: Hevea brasiliensis (rubber tree)
Lineage: Eukaryota; Viridiplantae; Streptophyta; Magnoliopsida; Malpighiales; Euphorbiaceae
Source: RNAcentral